CACGUAGGGUGCGAGCGUUGUCCGGAAUUAUUGGGCGUAAAGAGCUCGUAGGCGGUUUGUCGCGUCUGCCGUGAAAGUCCGGGGCUCAACUCCGGAUCUGCGGUGGGUACGGGCAGACUAGAGUGAUGUAGGGGAGACUGGAAUUCCUGGUGUAGCGGUGAAAUGCGCAGAUAUCAGGAGGAACACCGAUGGCGAAGGCAGGUCUCUGGGCAUUAACUGACGCUGAGGUGCGAAAGCGUGGGGAGCAAACAGG
RNAcentral lists this ribosomal RNA (253 nucleotides) under uncultured bacterium. Its description in RNAcentral is "partial 16S ribosomal RNA". It matches the Rfam family "Bacterial small subunit ribosomal RNA", at positions 524 to 776 of the family's 1533-position model. The record is from RNAcentral.